Molecule: ribosomal RNA, 246 nt
Filed under: Salmonella enterica subsp. enterica
Lineage: Bacteria; Pseudomonadati; Pseudomonadota; Gammaproteobacteria; Enterobacterales; Enterobacteriaceae
Description: partial 16S ribosomal RNA
Rfam family: Bacterial small subunit ribosomal RNA
Source: RNAcentral
AAAUUGAAGAGUUUGAUCAUGGCUCAGAUUGAACGCUGGCGGCAGGCCUAACACAUGCAAGUCGAACGGUAACAGGAAGCAGCUUGCUGCUUUGCUGACGAGUGGCGGACGGGUGAGUAAUGUCUGGGAAACUGCCCGAUGGAGGGGGAUAACUACUGGAAACGGUGGCUAAUACCGCAUAACGUCGCAAGACCAAAGAGGGGGACCUUCGGGCCUCUUGCCAUCAGAUGUGCCCAGAUGGGAUUA